RNAcentral lists this unclassified non-coding RNA (343 nucleotides) under uncultured fungus. Its description in RNAcentral is "partial contains ITS1, 5.8S rRNA and ITS2". The record is from RNAcentral. Lineage: Eukaryota; Fungi.
AACGCAAAUUGCGAUCGAGGAUUCGGCCAAGAGCAUGUCUGCCUCAGCGUCGGGUUAAUACUCAUAUAUACUAAUAUGUAUUAUUAUAAUAAUAUGUAUGUGUCUGUAUGGAUCUGGCCGUCUCGGUUUGCCUAGUAAUAAGUAAAACGGGUUGGCUGAAGUGCAGAUGUCAAACCAUGGACCGUUAAUCGGGCCUCUACUGGGUAGUCAACUCGUUUGCUAUAUUGCUUUAGUAGAUUGCCUCGGGUACUGCGUUUUGCACAAAGCAAGAGUAUCUGACUUGUCAUGUACAACCCAAUUUAUUUCCUCGACCUGAGCUCAGUCAAGAUUACCCGCUGCACUU